This 334-nucleotide unclassified non-coding RNA is filed under the name soil metagenome. RNAcentral's name for it is "partial contains 5.8S ribosomal RNA, internal transcribed spacer 2, and large subunit ribosomal RNA". The stretch from base 1 to 120 matches the Rfam family "5.8S ribosomal RNA", at positions 35 to 154 of the family's 154-position model. The record is from RNAcentral.
GAUGAAGAACGCAGCGAAAUGCGAUAAGUAGUGUGAAUUGCAGAAUUCAGUGAAUCAUCGAAUCUUUGAACGCACAUUGCGCCCUUUGGUAUUCCUUAGGGCAUGCCUGUUCGAGCGUCAUCUACACCUUCAAGCCCUGCUUGGUGUUGGGUGCCUGUCCCGCCCCGGGCGCGGACUCACCUCAAAUCCAUUGGCGGCCCCACGUCGGCUCCGAGCGCAGCAGAAACGCGAACUCGUGGGCCCGGCGGGGUGGCUCCCAGAAGCACAUCCACCAUUUUGACCUCGGAUCAGGUAGGGAUACCCGCUGAACUUAAGCAUAUCAAUAAGCGGAGGA